UGAGCUUAUCCGAGAGGACAUAUUGAGUGGU
Molecule: non-coding RNA, 31 nt
Filed under: Mus musculus (house mouse)
Lineage: Eukaryota; Metazoa; Chordata; Mammalia; Rodentia; Muridae
Source: RNAcentral